Nyctereutes procyonoides (raccoon dog) is the source of this 1071-nucleotide long non-coding RNA. RefSeq lists it as uncharacterized. The record is from RefSeq and is a predicted model, not a curated record. The transcript has 3 exons. NCBI's taxonomy places the organism in Eukaryota, Metazoa, Chordata, Mammalia, Carnivora, Canidae.
CAUUCAUUCAUUCCCUCACCCCUCAUCUGUUUGCUCCCUCUGUGCCUGGGGUGCACCUGCAGGUCUUCCCUCAAGCAGCUCUGGCUCUGGAGGACUAACCCUGACCCUGUCCGACAAGGACCAUGAGUCAGGAGCUGGCAGCUUGGGCAGGUCCAAAUGGCUCUCCCUCAGGCGAAGAGCAGGAGGUCGGUGAAGGACGGCGGGUGAUAAACGUCCCAGCCUCCGUAGAGGCCUACAGAUGCCCACGGGAACUCAGAGCACCAGGCCCUGCCCGCCCUCAGCCCUCCUACCUGGCUAGGUGAGGACACAAAAUGCGACCUGCCAGGGCAGUGGCCACCCCACCAGACAUGGCCACAUCUAUCUGCCUGCUUGUCCUGAGGAGCCUCAGGGAAAUCCUGUGGCAGAGCUGGUGAGCCGUCUAUGCCGUUCCCCCAGAGCUGAAAGCUGCUGCCCAGGAAUCCAGAUGUUGUGACUCUGUCAUCAGUGGAUGUGGGCUCUAAAGGUAGUCAGGGACACAUCUGAAUAUCAUGUGAUAGCCCAGCUUUUUUUAGAAGGACCUAGUGUCUCUUAAACUCCAACUUUGAAAUUGUUUCUCAUAGUUUUGAGCUUUAGCAUUGAGAUUUAUUUUUUGAAGAUUACAGAUUUCUGUCAUUGGAUGGAGUAGCUCCUGCUGAGGCUGCUACAUACAGCUCUGGCUGGUUGUGUCUUUGCAACACUGGGCAGCCCUGGGCACAGCACGGCAUCUGGGUUCUGUGAGAAGAGAGCCAGCUCUCCUUGAAGAACAGUGUUCUCUCCUGGGAUGUUUAUGUAAAAAAGCACUAACAAUACAGUGCUCUCUGUCUUGUUUCUUCCCAUUUUAUAUUUGAUAAAUGGCAAUAACUUAAUUAUAAGGUAACACAUGCUGGUUAUGAAAUUUCAAAAAAUACAGAGUUAUAAAGUAAGAAAAAAAAGAAAAAAGAAAUAAAGAGAAAAUCGAGGGAUGAAAAGAAGAUACAGAAAGGAAUUUGGAAGAACCAUUCUAAUGUCAGACAACAUAGAAUUAAGGCCAAAAAAAAUCAUAAAAGACAAAGA